Molecule: transfer RNA, 72 nt
Organism: Drosophila melanogaster (fruit fly)
Lineage: Eukaryota; Metazoa; Arthropoda; Insecta; Diptera; Drosophilidae
Source: Ensembl
UCCCAUAUUGUCUAGUGGUUAGGAUACCCGGCUCUCACCCGGGAGGCCCGGGUUCAAUUCCCGGUAUGGGAA